UAAGGAAUAUUGGUCAAUGGACGCAAGUCUGAACCAGCCAUGCCGCGUGGAGGAUGAAGGUCCUCUGGAUUGUAAACUUCUUUUAUCUGGGACGAAACACUUCUUUUCUAAGAGGCCUGACGGUACCAGAUGAAUAAGCACCGGCUAACUCCGUGCCAGCAGCCGCGGUAAUACGGAGGGUGCAAGCGUUAUCCGGAUUCACUGGGUUUAAAGGGUGCGUAGGUGGGUAUGUAAGUCAGUGGUGAAAUCCCCGAGCUUAACUUGGGAACUGCCAUUGAUACUAUAUAUCUUGAAUACCGUAGAGGUAAGCGGAAUAUGUCAUGUAGCGGUGAAAUGCUUAGAUAUGACAUGGAACACCAAUUGCGAAGGCAGCUUACUAUGCGGUGAUUGACACUGAGGCACGAAAGCGUGGGGAUCAAACA
Molecule: ribosomal RNA, 422 nt
Filed under: uncultured bacterium
Lineage: Bacteria
Description: bacterial SSU rRNA
Rfam family: Bacterial small subunit ribosomal RNA
Source: RNAcentral